UACGUAGGAUGCAAGCGUUGUCCGGAAUUAUUGGGCGUAAAGCGAACGUAGGCGGUUUCUUAAGUUUGGUCUUAAAGACCGGGGCUCAACCCCGGGAAUGGAUCGAAAACUGGGAGACUGGAGGACGUCAGAGGAAAGUGGAAUUCCGAGUGUAGCGGUGAAAUGCGUAGAUAUUCGGAGGAACACCAGUGGCGAAAGCGACUUUCUGGGACGUUCCUGACGCUGAGGUUCGAAAGCUCGGGGAGCAAACAGG
This 253-nucleotide ribosomal RNA is filed under the name uncultured bacterium. Its description in RNAcentral is "partial 16S ribosomal RNA". It matches the Rfam family "Bacterial small subunit ribosomal RNA", at positions 524 to 776 of the family's 1533-position model. The record is from RNAcentral.